UGCUAUGCCUUAUGCACGUUGAAUCCCUCACUGAGUCCAAUGGACCAGCAUCCAUGACAAGAGCUAAGUGCGUGGGCAAGAGCUCUGCUGGUCUGGAGCCAGAGUUAGUAUUCCCUUGUUCUUUAAAGAUAAUGUUACAGCGAAGAUGGAAGUUAUUUUUUUUGAGUAGGGAAGUGGGAUGAUAAGGCAAUAAAAGUGGUGAAGAGACCUGUUACGAAUCAUGGCGUAAUGCGUACAUGGAAUAACCUUAUCUAAACAUGCCGAAGUUGGUUGUUUUGAGUGGAGGCUGAGGGUCAGCAAUAUACUUCAAAUCAUUCAGCUAUCCAGGAGAGAUAGCAAGACCUCAGCCCUGGCCAGCUCUUCAGACCAAAGUGAAAGUAUUCCCGUGGUGAUGCUGGUAUGGACUUCAGUGAAACCCCACCUCUGGAGUGACAGCUGGACCUAGGUAAGAGCUGCACGCCAGGCAUGAAUAUUCAGAGAAGUCAACACAAGGGUGAAACAGGACAGGUAGCAUCAGAAAGCAGGAGAAGACAAAGGCAUAUCUGGUCAUUAGCUUUAUAAUUGUUCUAAAAAACAUUUUGUAUUUGGGCAAAAUUAUGAGGAUUAUUUGUAACAACUGAAUGACAGCCUGAUAAUUCAAUUUUGAUUUGCUCUGGCAAGAGCAUUUAUAAGGACACAUUAGCAAUGGGGAGCUCUCAAAACACAUGUAUACAUGCCAGUGCCAAAGAGACUGGGCAUGUGCUCCUGCCUACGUGUGAGGCAGCCAAUUCCUGCCACAAGUCCUGGGAAUCAACAGCACUUUGUCUCCCAUUGCGCGGCCUCACCAGCCUUGGGCACAUGGGGAACGGUUGUCUGAAGUCUCUGUGGCAGUGCCUUAGCCCCCAGGAAGGAGCCCUGGGUCUGGAAAAGGAUGCUGUGAAAGGUCUGCAGUGCCAUGCUAUUUUUGCUUGUUUAUCUGGUCAGCGCCAGCCUAUUUUGUGGGCAGCUUGUGCUUGUCUCAAGGUAUUUGGAUUUGAUAAUCUGAUCAGUGCCAGUCCAUUCUUGGCUUCUCUGUCCACCUGCUGACUCCCUUGUGUUACCCUUCUGGUGCUCUAUCCAUCUGUUAAGAAUUUACUUACAAAAUGCAUUAAAAUAAAUCACUAUGCUUUUAUGUGCAUAGGGAUCCUGUUUCCAGCAUCUCAAAAAUCCUAAUAAAUAACUGUGUCUGUUAGUAACAGUAUCAUAAAGUCUUGUAUUUUAUCAUUAGUGAUUUACAGGGGAUGCCAUGAUGCUUAGAAAACAGCCUUUUAACAUUCAAAUUUGGUGGUUUUCAGAAUUCAUUUUAUACUUUGCUGUCAGGUAAUACAGGUUUUCAGACCAGGUGCAUGUGCUGAACACUAUUAUCAAGGAAAUAAAUUCAGAUACAGACUACAACAACAGCUUCUAUCGAAUUACUGCUUGACUGUAAAGAAGACCACAGCUAAGACCUGGGGCAAUGGAAAUGCUGUGGAUCCAGACAUUUUUUAGUCUGGACUAUUGAUUUUUCCAUGGGGGAGGACGGGACGACCCUGCUAGGAGAGAGAAGACCGUUUUCCAUCCUCUGCAGAAGCUGACGUGAGCAUUGUUUGUACCAGCACGAGUCAUGCGAGAGCUGGGGGAACCCGAACAGGCUGAUGCCACCAGCCAGCGCCGCUCGGGCAGGGCCAUGAGACCGGGCACCGGCCGAGACCCUGCCGGUCGCGGGGCUGGAGGCCACGGGGGAAGCACUUGGUGUUCAGAACUUCUUAACCCACUGUGGAGCAACCCUGAGCUUCAGGAGCAGUGCCCGAUGGGACGGCCGCUGAAGGUGUAGUUCCAUAACCACCAAACCAUGGAAAACGCUGGAGAGGAGAAAGACUUACUGGAGGCAAGGUGGAGACAGGUCGCAGACAUGCUGGCAUUUGGAAGCUGCUGAAAGGCUGCGGGGAGGCUUCGCAGCCGAGCGGCUCUGGUCCCCCCUUGCCCUUUGGUGUGGGUUCCUGCCGCUCAUCGCCACUGAGCUUCCAGCUGUUUCCAGGGGACUGACCCUGAAGGGGGAAUGCUGAAUACAGUGUAGUUGAUGCCAUUUAUCUUCGUGUUGAAUACUUGCGAGCUGUAGUUCAUUUAAAUGAAGCCUUUAUGUGUAAUAUAUAAAUUAAAGCCAUAAUGUUAUAGGAAAAGAAGGGCAGCUUGGCUGAUCCAGGGAUUAAAAUCUUUUAACGUUAUGUCCCAGAUAGUGCGUAAUGUGAUAUAAAAGGAUUCUAAUGCGUUCAACAAAGCCAAACACAGCAAGACCUGAACAAACCCCAGAGGACACCAAGACAACCAACCUAAAAUAUAGGUCAAUGUUUUCAAAUUUGGUGUAAGUUCUUUUUGUCUAAUUAAUCUAUAUCUACCAAUAUGUUAGUGAGAGGAAGAUACAGAAAGCUGACUGCCACUGAAACGUUCCCAAGGCUGAAAGAAAACAGUCUCAGCUUGUGGCUAAUUAUUUUUUUCCUUGAAAUUUAUGCCCUGAAAGAUAAGCAAACAUGGUGUUUAUUUGACCUGUGCACCUUGUACCAGACUCUUUUUCCAAAUACUGUUCUUUAAAACAGCUAUUAAAAUGAUAGAAAAAGAGAAGAAAAUGCUGCUGAAAACACAGCAGCACAACAGUGAAGGAAGAGGAUGAACACAGCUUGAGAUUACAGCAGUCACUGCAUCAAGAUGUUCAUCAUCCUUGUGCGUGGCCAUGCAAGAUGUGGGCUGAGUUUCCAGCCCUGCUGAUUUUCCUCAUGGGUCUCAUGACAUCUGCUGUUUUCUUCCUGAGAACCCAAGCCUGGAAGUGUGUGGCUAAAGGAUAGUCUCAGCUUUCCUUUAAGAGGUGCCUCUGCCCCAUUUUCCAAGGGAGUAAGGCACGGCCAUGGGACCCCAGGGUGGUCUGCCAGCGGCCGUCUGCUGCCCUUGUCCAUCCUCUCGGCUCGGCUGUCCCCUCGCGCCCGCACACGUGGAGCAGCGUCGGCUGCGGCAUGGGACUGUGCCAAGCACGGGGAGCGUGGGGGGUCGUGGGACCGCAGCCGGCACGUUGCCCUUCACACGUCAGGGUAUGGGCAUCUGUUAUCAAGUGCUGUCGUUACCCGUGCCUCGUUUACAGCUUUACAUCCCUCACCAAGACUGCAGAAGUGGUGAUUUGAUUCCGGAAAACAUCGUGGCAUGUGAGUGGCUCCCCCCCGCCCCCAGAGGCACUUUGCUGAAGGAAGAAGGUGAAGCAGCAAAAGGGGAAAGGCUCUGAAGCUGAAGCCAGCGUUCGAAGAAGCUGAGCCUUAACAGAAGCAGAGAAUGGUAUAUCCUGGGAAACCUCUGACUGAAUGAAUGGAGAUGGGGACCAUACUGGAUUUGUCUCUGAAUAUAUUAUAAUGGCUAUGGAUGGAGCUCCUGCUUGCUCUACAGCAUCGCUGUUUUUUGACUGAAGUAAACAGGAGUUAAUCCCUGUAGCCUGUGAGCUGUCCCAUGCUGCCCAAGGCCCCGCUCCCUCACCGAAGGCUUGGCAAGGCUGCUCUGCCUUUCAUGGGCACCGCGGGAGAACUCACCACCGGCUCCUGCCCGGGGAGGUGGCACCGAGGCAAGACGCAGGUAAGGCUCAAGCGGAGCAAAGAGAACGUGACCUGCGGCAGCGCGUUGAAACGCCGUGGUAAGCGAGAUAUCUACGACCCCUCGAGAAGAAGCAUCGAGGCGUUCAGCACUCAGUUCUGCUGCCUGCAGCCGGCUCCCCCUGCCCUCCCCUGCCCUCCCCUGCCCUGCCUUGCCUUCCCCUUCCCUCCCCUGCCCUCCCCUGCCCUGCACUCCUGCUUUUGCUGCUCCGUCCCCCGGCUGGUGUUUCCUCGGUGGCUGUCACCGCUUACCACCCAGGUACGCGCAGACCAUUUUCUUUCACCCACUGAUUUCCUGGUUUAUUUGAUUCUGAAAUAAUUGUGCUCAAGCAUUAGAAUAGUGUGAUUAAAAUUAUUUUUAAAGAGCUACAUGACUGCUCAGGGGCUUACAUGGAAGAAAUAAUGGGAUGAAUAAAUGGAUGACUGGUGGAUCUGAGUUUAAAACGCAAAAAAAGGACCAAGUUCCCUCUGUCAUAAAUGUGGGAUUUAGAAAGUCUUAUUUGAAGGUUUAUCUAAAGGGUAUAUGUUUGAUUAUGUCUGCAAUUUACAGAUUGAUCCCCAGUGUGAAGUUUUGCAGAGAAAAAGCUAUUAUUUUAGGGUCCAGGAAUAGUAAGCAGGGCUAGAUCCACCAGAACUAGGUGGAUUUUCAGCGUGGAGGGAGCCAGGCAGCACUUGCCCUUCAUCGGUAUUUGAAUGUGGGCUCUCAACUAGAAAAGAAACCCUGGAGGGCUGUCAGAGGAUUAUCUCCGCUGCUCUGCAGAAGUUCAGGGUAUUGCCACCAGAGCAGCGUGUGCCUCCGAUUUUAUACCAACUUAGCCAAGAUAAAAAUCAGGCUCAGUUCUCCCAGCCUCUGAAGGCAGCCUGAUAAAAUUAGCAGGAGUAAUUUUUUGUACAAAGUUCUUUUGAUAGCUUGGCAAAGGCCAGAAGAUUGAAUACAAGGAGGAGGACUUCAAGCCACGUUUUCUCUGUUGGUGUAAACAGGUAUCAUUACGCUGAAACAAAUGGAAGUGCUCUUACUUUACACCACCUGAAGGCCUGACAAAUUCCCAUUUGUUUGAUGCUAUAAUGAAUAGCCAUUUCAUGGGUAUGAGAUGAGUUCAGGUACAAACCUUAGUUUUCAGUUUCCUGCCUGCCUCUGAAUAGCAACCAGCAUUAUUUCACUGCAGUUGUUUUAAAAAUUAACUUGUAAUGCAUUCUAGCCAAUCCUUCCUACUGAAUGAUGAUAUUUUUUUUUAAUUUAAUUUUUGGUUUUUAGAUUGAUGUCCUCAUUGUAAUGCAUCUUCAUUCUGCUUUCCACUAAAAGCUCAAUAUUGUGACUUAUGUGGAAUAUUUAAUGGGCAGACUUCUCAUAUAAAUUUUGCAACUACCAGUAAUUAGACUCACCCGCGUGCAAUGCAGAGAGCAGGAACCUCUGUAGUCAUCAAAGGUGCAGAGUCAGGGAAAGAAGCAAAGCUUUGUUUUCCCAGUGAAGCAGAGGGAGCUGCCCCUGAGUUUGCUAUGCGUUAUUGCGAACAGCUUAGUGGCAAAGUUCCAUUAUUUCUGACCUUUCUGUCCAUAUUGUAGCACAACCGUUGCCAUUUGGGACAAUUCAAGGUACUGCAGGUAGUUCUGUAAUAGUCAGCAAACUGUUCUAGCAUCAUCAUUAGCUGUCUCUGUGGCUGGCAUGGAGUGAAGGCGAACACUUUGGGGCAAUUCUGAGCAAGAGUUCCUUCGGCAUCGUUUUCUUCUCCGGUAGUCUGAUGCCAAAUACGAAUUUCCAUUUAUUAUUGUACUGAGCAGCAUAAAACAUUUCUCAGGUUUUUGCUGCUAUCUUCCAAGAUCCCAGAGAAGAGUACAUUCAUCUGAACCUAUAAUUUAUUGGUGUAAUGACCAAGAAUUAAAGACUGAGGAUAACUAGCAACAUCAAGCCUUUUUGAUCUUUAAAAAAUCUCCCAUUUUUUAAGGUUACUUGCUACGUGCUUUGCUGUAUCCAACAGACAUAAUUUCGAUCUCAGUUAACCUGCACUUUAGGUCAAAAGGAACAACAGAAAAAUUAAAAGAGUUCGACCAGCAAGAAAUAAUUGUGAGUUUCUUACAAAGUGGAUGAAAGAGAGCAAGAACUGCAGCUGUGGAGUCAGACCGUGGAGGCUUAAAGGGACUUUGGAAAUGGUGAAUUUCACACGCCCAAAGCCUGCCGGGUCAUCAGGGGAAACCCCACACCAUUCCUGCAGCUUUCACAAGCUUGCCACGCACGAGAAGCUGUAGUGCCCACCCCACCUAUUUUUAGGGCAGUUCCAGCUCUCCAUCCUGCCCAAGCCUCUCCUGGCAAACCCGUUCCUGUCUUGAACUCUCUUGCAUCAGUUUGCAUAGCGCAGCGCUGCUUUAUUUCGGAGCAGCAGUGAGAUAACUGGGGGCUGGUGCUGACACUGGUCUUGGGUGACACUGGGCAGGACAGAGACCUCACCUCAGAGCCAGGUUCCUGCAACCCCCCCCGGUCUGACGCAGCACAAAGUGGUGAAACCAAGUUGGUGCAGACAGGCUGUGGGAAACGCGGGGAGAGACCCGCUGCUGGCGAUUCUGGCAGUGAGCACCGCCAGCUUCGGCGGCCGAUGCGGCGAGGAGAGGAGAAGCAGGGCACGCGCCCCAGCAUCGCAUGCCUUCGCUCCGCCGACCUGCCCGGGCUUUCUCAGGGCUCCCUAUUUCGAACUGCGUAUUACAUUUACUGUCCCUGUCUAACCUGAAAUUUCAUGAAUGAUCUUUUUGAUAAAUUUUACUUUUAAUGUUUUCUCCAUCCUGUUAGGAAAUAUGCUGUUUACUGAUGAUUACGUUUUCUAAAUGACUGCACUUGCUUCUUAGCUUUUAAGUGAAAUGCCUGGAAAAAUGUGUUUCUGUAGCCUUCAAGGGAAAUAAUGGGAAGUCCCUCCCUCCCUGUUCAAGACUGCUCUCAAAAAAAUACCCAGGUUUUAGCACUGGAUUUAUCUCAACAAUGCACAGUCAUUUAAAAGCUUCCUGAGCUGUUUGUACUUACAAGGAGCAUUUCUAAUGCAACUUUAGAGGACACAAAGUAAAUAUGUCUAGCUUGGCAGACGGCUUGAAGAAAACCUACUUAGUUCAAUCAUUAGGUCAAGCCAAAUAAAUUUCUGCCUUCCUCAGAGAAAAUUACUAGUGAAUGUCGAGGCUGAAGUGAUUUUAACUUCCUUGACAUGGAAGAUUUAGUUACAUCAAACAGUAAUGAACAGCUGAAAGAUGUAAUUUUGGUUAUAAAAGGAGUGCAGCCACUACAUGUUCAAAGACAAAAUAAUUCUUACUAUUCACUGCACCAUAAUAUUUAAAUACUUACGGCAUUAAAUAUUAGUAAGACAUAUUUAGAGGCAGCUGAUGGCUCUGAAGCUUAGUCCCCACUCAGUUUGUCAGAUCCUUGAGUUUCAGAGGAAAAACUGUGCAGGAAAUCUCGUUCUUUCGUCGUGCUUUUCAUUGCGUUACAGAUCAGUAAAUGGCAGUAAAUGGAGCUCUGGCAAUGGGAAGGUCGCUGCAGGGCAUUUGGAAAUGAAAGGACUAUUUUGUGUCUCGUUUAGAGACUUCUCUUUAUUUAUUGGUGUGUGUUAUCCAGUGGCCGGGGUAAUGGGCCUCAGAAGAAAGUGUUGUUUAAGUAAAAUAGCUGUGGUUUGGGGGGGAGUAACUAAAUCAGAAGUUCUGAGAAGCAGCGGCCACGUUCUCAGGCAUCUGAAAUGUGUCUACUACUAAGAGCAAAGCAAUUUUUUCUAAUUCCAAAAUCCCAGUUUGCAAGGAUGUUAAAUCAUCCUUGGGCUUAACACAAUAGUCUCUUGGCAACUGCAGAUGCUUAUCUUGAAAGAUUCAUUUUUACAACAGACUGAAUUCUCAGAAAAGAGGCCAAACAUAAAGAUGUUAGAAAUCAAAGCGAAAAUCCAAAAGGGUUUUGAGGCUUGAUUUAGUUAAGCAUCCAAAUGUUUGGCUAUGUAUUUGAAACUUAUUCAAGCUGCUUAAAUCUAGAAAACUGGUAAUAGGCUCUAUCCUCCCUGCUCUGUGACGGAAAGUCUUGGCACAUACAGUUCCAAAUUGCAUUGACCUUUUUUUGCUGCCAAAUUCUAUUGCAUUUUCAUUUCUAAUUUACUGUCCAAUCCAGCCCCAAGGUCUCUAGCUUUUACUGCCUUUCUAGGUUUCCAUUUCCUAUUCAAUAUGUGCUUUUCCCCCUUGCUUAAUAGUUUUCAUUUUUCGCCAGUUAAGUCUCAUCUUAUUACUCAAAAAUUUAGGGACCGAUAUAUGAGGUCAGACUGACAAUCCAUCCAUUUUGUUAUUCUUUCUUCUAUAAUUUACCAGGUUCAGAUGCUUCAGAAGGCACAGAAGAAACACAGAAAUGGAUCAUUGUGGAAACCUUUGUCCAUAGGAAAAAUCCAUAGUGUAUUUCUGUGCUAAUGCAGAAGGGUUUAUAGCUUCUUCCCAGCUGAAAUAAGUGUUUCAUCUCAGCACCUAUGUACAAAUCUAUGUUUUUCUGAAUUCUAUUAAAUGUUCACUCUCAGUAAUAUCCAUUGGCAAUGAGUUCUACAGGUUUAUUCUGGAGGUUUAUUGGUUGUUUCUGCCUACAUUUGUAUUUCCUCUGAUGAUACUGAUAUUAUUUAUCUUUCUUGCUGGUUUGCUAAUUUUCCACAGUAGUGUCACUUGUGAUUGUCAUUAAUAUGCUUCCUUUUGAGUGGGAAGGAGGAUGCUGUGUAAAAGGAAUUAUAAUACACAUUCUCCCUCUAAGUUUUAAAGUACAUUUGUGUAGAGUAUAUUUUUAAGGUAUAUUGUAAAGGCUUUUCUCUGAAAUCCGUGGUUGGAAUUACUGACCUCUUCCUUUCUGGCAGCUCUUUUGCAUUGCCAUCUUUUGGUAAGACCUGGCCCGGAUGGGCUGCGUGAGCCCCACUUUUGGGCGGACGGCACCGGUGGUUCAGUGCGAGCCUCGCGGCCGGGUCAGACCCCAUGUCCGCAGUUACCUGGCACUUUCUCUGUUUCCUUCUGCUUAUUUCUUUAUUUUAGCAUUCAAGGCUUGCCAGCCACACUGGACUGGUGGGACCUUUGCAAAUCUUCUUGGCAGCACUUCCCAUCUUUCACUCGGCUUUCUUUCUCUGUAUUGGAUGCUUUUGAUUCGUGCUUGGGAUUUAUCGGUUUAAUUAAUCUAAUCUCUGCAGUAUCAUCCAUGCUAACUGAAAUAAUUCCUGACAAUGUUUCGUUGAUCCCUGUGAUUGCUGAAUGAGAGUGAAGCUAUGUGGCAGCAUAUGGCAGUAUUUCUUAUCUGUGGUGGCUAAGUUUAGCAUUUUAGAGGGUUUUUUUAGUCCUUUUUCUUUUAAUCAGAGUUGUCUAUUUGCUUAGAGAUUAGGCCAUUUUUGUGUGUUUCCUCAUUGAUAAAACUGUGCUUUUUAAUGUUCUGUAAAAUCCUAUUGUGUUCCCACAGACUUUUGCAGGAGCAAGCUUCAUACACAAUAUCACAGGGCAUUGCUACAGUGAAAUGCACAGAAGUGGUGUGGUGCACAGGCUUUUUUUGAAGUAUUAAAAUUUGUUGUUUAAACAUUUGCAGAAAGAACAAUGCUUUAUAAAUAAGUACAUGAUUAGAUUAAUCCAGGACUACUCUCAGUAAGGGCAGUGGUACAGCCUCAAGCCCUCAGUGGUUAUACCAACAGUGAUUUUAUAUCGGUAAUGUUUCUUUACUUAUAAACUGCCAGUGAGUUGAGAGUUGCGAUGACAAUCCUGUCUUCCAAGGAUGCGCUGAAGUGUUUUGGAUCCCAGGGCCUGGUAUUUACGGAAGGUUUUUAUAGUACAGACUCAGCAGUUUGCACAGUUUGGUGAAUUCGUUUAGAGUAAUUAGUGUAACACCAGGCUGGAUUUGCAAGUCUGUUUAAGCCAUUCUACUUCGAGUGUAUCAAACUUUAAAACAUCUACAGUACAAACAUUGAUUUUGUUUGGAUUAUUUCACGUAUUUUUCCAGCUCUACUAAAACAGUGGUGAGUAACUCAACGGUUGGUUGACACAGGUCCUGGUCGUUCCUUAGCCUUGUGGACCAAGGGCCUGGCCGCAUCCCGCGUGGAUUCCAAGAUGGACCCCUUGCCUCUGAAUCGAUGACUUCCCUGGCCCUGCUGAUGCAAAGGGAUGAUAGCAAUUCUCCACCAAUCCCCAGCAGCCAGUAGUGCAAUAUACUGUGCUUCUCAUACCGUAAUGGAAAUCUGUAUUGUCACUGUUGCAAUAUGUCAUGCUGUACCUGCAGGCCAGUGGGUUUGCCUUCCUGUUAUCCUGAUCUGGGGUAGUUGUUUAUGUUGGCAACAAAGGAGCCAAUCAAAAAUUUACUCCCAUUUGAUUUAUUUUUGACUUGCAAAACAGAGAAUCAGUCUGCAUAUUUUUAAUACAAUUUUUUUUCCCCAGGGAUGGGCCAGUUUUAUUCCACAUCUCUUCUCUGGGAUGUGCAGAAAGCCCUACAAUGCUAUCUGGAGACAUUGUGUGGCAGAAAUUGCCUCAAGAGAAUUUUCUUUUAUGCUUUAUCCCAAAAUGCUUAUAUGGCUGUUCACCACUCUUCCAUCAUUUAUUAAAAGAAGCUUGUGCUCGUGUGGUGUCCUGUGAAUGUGACUUGCUGAACAGACCUCCGGCAAAUUUGCUGGAGUAAAGCAGAUUGCUGCCCUGGAGAAGAUCCAGACAGCGUGGGAGUGGCAUUCUGUUUUGUUUUCUGUAGAAAAAUUAUAAUUGCCUAGAUAUCAAUUAACCCUAUGAUACUGGCCUUCCCUUUUUGCAGUUUGUUCAUUUGAAAUCAUAGAUAGCUUCAUAGAUAGUAUGAAGAGAAGUUGGGUUUUGGUUUUUUUUUUUUGCAAAUCCUGGUCUAGGUUCCCUGUUAAAUUUAAUUUUUUUUUUCCUCCGGAAAUAAUUUUUACCCUUGUUCACCUAAAAUAAGUGACAAGAAGAUGGAUGAAGCUCUCCUGCCCCCUACGUGUGUUUUUAGGGAAGAAGUAGGGUGGCUUGACUGGUAGCUCUGAGUCAGUGUUGGUACCUUGUACUGGCCAGCUGAUUUGUACUGCUGAAUUGCCAUAUUUUUCUGGACAUCACCAGAAAUUGUGUUGCUUGUGCUCAUUAAUUCCUUAAUUUUUACAGGUAAGAUAAUUCAGCGUAGCUGAACCACGUCUUUUUUCUCAGACGUAGUCCACCCAGGUAGUCAUAUUCUCUCCUCUUCCACAAGCAGCUGGCACUAAUGCAGUCAGUUUUCGUGGUUGCAGUGGUAUUUAAGCAGUAGCCUAAAUACCUGGGUGGUGCUUUGCUUCAGACCAUUGAACUGUGGCCACUUUUUCCCUGGUGGGUGCCGUGAAGGUAUACUGGUACUCCUUGUCUGUGUAUUAGUUUUGAAUCAUACAAAUUCAAAGUUCUAAAAUUAACAUCUCCUUGUUUUUUCCUCACCAGUAGAACUGGCCAGAAAAAAGUGGAAAAGCGAUGGUUCAGGCUGCAGCCCGCGUCCCUGCCAGCCCAAGCUGCCAGCGCGGGCUCCGAGCACCGGGGGACUGGGCAGCGCGGGCCAGGCUCCGCGCGGGCAGGAGGUGGAGGAACGCAAAUUUGUGCCAGUACUGGAGGACUGAUCCGUA
This is a long non-coding RNA of Harpia harpyja (harpy eagle), 11212 nucleotides long. RefSeq lists it as uncharacterized. Lineage: Eukaryota; Metazoa; Chordata; Aves; Accipitriformes; Accipitridae. The record is from RefSeq and is a predicted model, not a curated record. The transcript has 5 exons.